Molecule: ribosomal RNA, 460 nt
Filed under: uncultured bacterium
Lineage: Bacteria
Description: partial 16S ribosomal RNA
Rfam family: Bacterial small subunit ribosomal RNA
Source: RNAcentral
CCUACGGGAGGCUGCAGUGAGGAAUAUUGGUCAAUGGACGAGAGUCUGAACCAGCCAAGUAGCGUGAAGGAUGACUGCCCUAUGGGUUGUAAACUUCUUUUAUAAAGGAAUAAAACGAGGCACGUGUGCCUUUUUGCAUGUACUUUAUGAAUAAGGAUCGGCUAACUCCGUGCCAGCAGCCGCGGUAAUACGGAGGAUCCGAUCGUUAUCCGGAUUUAUUGGGUUUAAAGGGAGCGUAGAUGGGUUGUUAAGUCAGUUGUGAAAGUUUGCGGCUCAACCGUAAAAUUGCAAUUGAUACUGGCAGUCGUGAGUACAGUUGAGGUAGGCGGAAUUCGUGGUGUAGCGGUGAAAUGCUUAGAUAUCACGAAGAACCCCGAUUGCGAAGGCAGCUUACUAAACUGUGACUGACAUUGAUGCUCGAAAGUGUGGGUAUCAAACAGGAUUAGAUACCCGGGUAGUC